GACGAACGCUGGCAGCGUGCUUAACACAUGCAAGUCGAACGAGAGGAGAAGGAAGCUUGCUUCUUUCAAAUCUAGUGGCAAACGGGUGAGUAACACGUAAACAACCUGCCUUCAGGAUGGGGACAACAGACGGAAACGACUGCUAAUACCGAAUACGUUCCUUAGGUCGCAUGACUUUAGGAAGAAAGGGUGGCCUCUACUUGUAAGCUAUCGCCUGAAGAGGGGUUUGCGUCUGAUUAGGUAGUUGGUGAGGUAACGGCCCACCAAGCCGACGAUCAGUAGCCGGUCUGAGAGGAUGAACGGCCACACUGGAACUGAGACACGGUCCAGACUCCUACGGGAGGCAGCAGUGGGGAAUCUUCCGCAAUGGGCGAAAGCCUGACGGAGCAACGCCGCGUGAGUGAAG
Molecule: ribosomal RNA, 406 nt
Filed under: uncultured bacterium
Lineage: Bacteria
Description: bacterial SSU rRNA
Rfam family: Bacterial small subunit ribosomal RNA
Source: RNAcentral